UAAUUAUGUAUUAUAAACUCAAGAGGGCCUUGAACUGUUGAAGGCAGCUAUAGAAAAGGCUGGAUACACUGGAAAGGUGGUUAUUGGAAUGGAUGUUGCUGCUUCUGAAUUCUUCAGUGAGAAGGAUAAGACUUAUGAUCUUAAUUUCAAGGAGGAAAACAACGAUGGUU
Molecule: long non-coding RNA, 170 nt
Organism: Panicum virgatum (switchgrass)
Lineage: Eukaryota; Viridiplantae; Streptophyta; Magnoliopsida; Poales; Poaceae
Exons: 3
Source: RefSeq, a predicted model, not a curated record